GUUUUUAUAAUUUAAUAAAAAUGUUAAUUUUGUAAAUUAAUUUUGCUUUAUAAGCUAAAAACU
RNAcentral lists this transfer RNA (63 nucleotides) under Frankliniella occidentalis (western flower thrips). Its description in RNAcentral is "tRNA-Thr". The record is from RNAcentral. Lineage: Eukaryota; Metazoa; Arthropoda; Insecta; Thysanoptera; Thripidae.